Molecule: small RNA, 5994 nt
Filed under: Pongo abelii (Sumatran orangutan)
Lineage: Eukaryota; Metazoa; Chordata; Mammalia; Primates; Hominidae
Description: retained intron
Source: RNAcentral
AGGCUUUGUGGCCCGUGGUGGGCAAACAUGGGGCUUGUGGCUCAGAGCGAGUCCCACAAAUGUUGGCUGGGUCAUUGAAGUGGACGGCUGGAAAGCUCUUUCAGUUCCCAGAGAGCUGGGCCGCGGCUGGUGUGUGGUGCUGAGGCGGCGGCCUGAGGCUGGCAGAGGGGAUGGUGUGUCCUAUGUGCACCAGUGGGGACCCACAGUGGCUUCAGGGUGCAGGGUGUCCGGGGAGCCCUGGCUGGUGCCAGUGAUAUGAGGCCCCUGGUUGUAAGGAUGAGCAGAUGGAAGCUCACAGGGGCCCCAAGUGGCCCAGGCUAGCCCGGGCAGGCCCCUCUGCCCUGUGCCCCGUGGAGCUGCAGCCCUGUGUGUCUUCCCGCCUGGAAGCGUUCACCAGACACAAGGGCCCAGCCCCAGCUGUGUGUGUGUUGAGCCCAGUCCCGAGGGCCCCAUUCCUCCCCAUUCCUCCCCAUUCCUUCCCAGGCUUUCGGGCAGAGCCCUCUUGUUUACCGCCUCCAGGAGGGCGGGGGUCCUAGUGGGCCCAGCCUCAUCUCUGUCCUCGCGUUCCAGGCCUGCUUUCCUCCUGCUGGGUGGGGGUUGUGCCCUGGCCCACGUGGGUUGGGGAUGGUGGCCCCAGGGAGGGCUCCUGGUGCCUGGGGGCUGUGUCCGGGGCAGGUUUCCCUGCCUGGCAGCUGAGCCCUGUCGUGUCUUUGACCCAGACUCGGAGCCGCGGGUCCCGACUGAACAUCAUCAUUAUCGCUGAGGGUGCCAUCGACCGCAACGGGAAGCCCAUCUCGUCCAGCUACGUGAAGGAUCUGGUGGUUCAGAGGCUGGGCUUCGACACCCGUGUAACUGUGCUGGGCCACGUGCAGCGGGGAGGGACGCCCUCUGCCUUUGACCGAGUCCUGAGCAGCAAGAUGGCCAUGGAGGCGGUGAUGGCGCUGCUGGAAGCCACACCUGACACGCCGGCCUGCGUGGUCACCCUCUCGGGGAACCAGUCAGUGCGGCUGCCCCUCAUGGAGUGUGUACAGAUGACCAAGGAAGUGCAGAAAGCCAUGGAUGACAAGAGGUUUGACGAGGCCAUCCAGCUCCGUGGCGGGUAAGCCCCCUCAGCAGACCCCUGCACUCUUACGUGGCUGGGUCCUGGUGCCAGGCAGCACGUGCUGCGGUGGCGCUGGGCACGCCUGGCCUGGAUCAUCCUUCUAGGCACCGCGUCUGAAGAUCGAGGGAGGAAGGGGCCUGCGGGUGGUACAGGAGGCGGGCUGGGAGGUGUGGUGCCGCAGGAGACCCUGGGUGGUGGCAGGGGCAGGGCCUAGUGCACAGGGAUCUGGGCAUGGCGAGGGGAUGAGAAGCUGUGGACGCAAGCCCAGGACAUGGGGUGGCCCCGCAGGGGCUGGAAAGGCUGGCAGAUGUUGGGUGUGGGUGCUGCUCUCCUGCAGGCGUCCCGGCGGCCGGGUCAGGCUGGAUUGGAUGUCUGGUUUCCCAUCCGUGCCCCCACCCGCUACCAAGGUGGCCAACCCUCCCUUGAGCCGGAUGCCAGCCAUGUGCUUUGCUGCACGGGCUGGCAUGGCCUCGUGUUGUGUUGGGGGUCUCGCACCUUCUGUGGAAAGUGCCCUGCCUGGCAUGCGCGGUGUCUGCUGCCUCAUGGCUGAGCUUCCAUCAGGCCGUGUGCCUGUGACCAGCCUCCUGGGCUCUGUCACGGCUGCGCUGUGGCUGUGUGGGGCUGCAGGGCUGUUCAUGGCGUGACCCGAAUCCUUUCCAGGAGCUUCGAGAACAACUGGAACAUUUACAAGCUCCUCGCCCACCAGAAGCCCCCCAAGGAGAAGGUGAGGCAGGGAGUGGCGCCCACAGAGGGAAGAACGGGCUCGGUUAUUCUGCAGCCUCUUCACGCUGGCCCCUGUGCCUGCCCCCGCCUUCCCUCCUGCUGGGGUCCGAGCUGUGAGCUGGGAGGGUGGGCUUGACCUCUGCCUGGGCUCAGGCACCACUGUGGCUGGCAGGUCCCGGGUGCUGGGACCCUGGCUGCAAGGGCUGGCUGUUGCUUCUCAAUGGUUGAUGGAAAUGAAGUCAGGCCCACAGGCUUAACUCAGGAGAGGAGGAGCCAUUGUGUAGAAAAUGUCCCCUGUGGCCAGGCUCACGCCUGUAAUCCCAGCACUUUGGAAGGCUGAGGUGGCCGGAUCACCUGAGGUCAGGAAUUCGAGACCAGCCUGGCCAACAUGGUGAAACUCUGUCUCUACUAAAAAUACAAAAAUUAGCUGGGCAUGGUGGUGGCACAUGCCUGUAAUCCCAGCUACUUAGGAGGCUGAGGCAGGAGAAUAGCUUGAACUCGGGAGGUGGAGGGUACAGUGAGCCGAGAUCGUGCCAUUGCAUUCCAGCCCGGGCGACAAGAGUGAAACUCUGAAAAUAAAAUGUCCCCAAACAGCUGAAAACCUCAGGAAAUGGGAUCUCUCCAAAAUAAGGAUGAAAUGGCUUGUUUCUAAAGUCCUGGGGGACAACGAGGGUCCUGUAGAGAGUCAUGGCCGGUGAGGUCCUGGCUCCCAAGCCCCUUGAGCCACAGCCGGAGCUGCAGGCCGGGGCAGACAGCAUGGCCCAGCCUGGGUCUGAUCCUCCCUUUCGUGGUCAUCUUUGGGUGUCCCUGCUUAUCCCCAGAGCUAGUCAGUGGGCUCCACCCUCUGUGGUGGGGCAACAUGGUCUCCAUGAACCCAGAACCUGGCACGGGCGUGACUGGCUUUGUGGGCAGCAGGGCUGGCUCGUACCAGGACCCAGUGGGGCCAUGUGGCUACGGAGCCCUUGGGUGUGGCUGCUGCCAAGUGGGGUGUGCUGCACGUGACAGGUGCACGCCAGGUUCAGCACGGGGGGUGGAGGGGAGCCUCAGCACGGGGGCUGGAGGGGAGGUGGUGGCGGCCGUCACUGGGUUCACAUGGACAUAGUGGGGUUUUGGGUCCAUCAGGUUAAAUUAACUGUCGUCCUGAUGGGGCUGUCUCCACAUCUUUUCCCUUAACGUGGCUACUAGAAAACAGGAUGGUCAGGGCCCCUUCCUUACUCGCGGCUGUGCACUCCCACCACCCGCUGCCAGCCCCUUGUGUGGGCACUGACCUGUGCUCCUGCCCCCAAGCCUGACUUCACAACGGUGCUCGCCCCCUCUGCCUCCUCUGCUGCCUGCGUGCCAGGGGACCAGGCUUGCACCGUGUCUCUUUUGGUCUUCACCGGAAUCUUCUGGAAUUAGAACAGAUACCGUAUUCCCAGAGCAGUUGCUGUGCUGGGCAGUGUCCAGGCUGGUGGCAGGGCCUGGCCCCUUUUUCCAGAACCUGCCGGCCUGCCGACUUCCUGUGCAGGUUGGGGGUCCCCUCCCCGGCCGUGCCUCACGCUCGUCUCCCCUUCUCUCUGAAGUCUAACUUCUCCCUGGCCAUCCUGAACGUGGGGGCCCCAGCGGCUGGCAUGAAUGCGGCUGUGCGCUCGGCGGUGCGGACUGGCAUCUCCCAUGGACACACAGUAUACGUGGUGCACGAUGGCUUUGAAGGCCUAGCCAAGGGUCAGGUGCAAGAAGUAGGCUGGCACGACGUGGCUGGCUGGUUGGGGCGUGGUGGCUCCAUGCUGGGGACCAAGAGGACCCUGCCCAAAGGCCAGCUGGAGUCCAUUGUGGAGAACAUCCGCAUCUACGGUAUCCACGCCCUGCUGGUGGUCGGCGGGUUUGAGGCCUAUGAAGGGGUGCUGCAGCUAGUGGAGGCUCGCGGGCGCUACGAGGAGCUCUGCAUCGUCAUGUGCGUCAUCCCAGCCACCAUCAGCAACAACGUCCCUGGCACCGACUUCAGCCUUGGCUCCGACACCGCUGUAAAUGCCGCCAUGGAGAGCUGUGACCGCAUCAAACAGUCUGCCUCGGGCACCAAGCGCCGUGUGUUCAUUGUGGAGACCAUGGGGGGUUACUGUGGCUACCUGGCCACCGUAACUGGCAUUGCUGUCGGGGCCGACGCCGCCUACGUCUUCGAGGACCCUUUCAACAUCCAUGACUUGAAGGUCAACGUGGAGCACAUGACGGAGAAGAUGAAGACGGACAUUCAGAGGGGCCUGGUGCUGCGGUGAGGCUGCCAUGGGUCCCCGGCCACAGCUGAGCUUCCAACCCUCGGGGCUAGGGGUGGGGCUGCUGAGGAGCUGCUGGGCAGGAGAAGGCAGGAGGGGUCCUUGGAGAGGGUGGGCCAGGGCGGCUUUCCUGGGAGCUGCCACUCCCUCUCCCAGGCCUGGCCCAGCGGGGACUCAGGAUCUGGGGGAGACCUGAACUCGUUCCCCGCUGACUCAGGCCCUGCUGUCCCUCUCAGGAACGAGAAGUGCCAUGACUACUACACCACGGAGUUCCUGUACAACCUGUACUCAUCAGAGGGCAAGGGUGUCUUCGACUGCAGGACCAACGUCCUGGGCCAUCUGCAGCAGGUGUGGGGCAGGGGUGAGGCUCUGAGAGGCCUGCCCCUCUUCCCUGCCACCAUCUGUCCCUGGGCCCAGAGGUCCCAGCCCUCACGGGCACCCACAGGCACUCCCUGCAGGCCCUCGGGCACGUGUGCCCUUCCCCAGUGAGGGGACUGAGGCCUGUAUCUAGGUGAGGUCUCAUUCCAAGAAGGGGUGGGGCUGGGGCUGGAGCCGGGGCCCAAGCCAGGGCACUCACAUGCUGAGCCGAGCUCCCCACCCCUGCCAGGCCUCCCGCGGCCACUUCCGCCGAGCCCCUCACCUAGAUCCUGGUAUGUUCCCUGCCUUACGGUGGCCCUGCAGGAAGCCUGCGUCCUGGGGUUUUCUGAGCCAGGGAGGGGAGUCAGGGUGGCUGGGCCUGGGGCCCGAGGUGAUGGGGCUGGAGGUAGGGCCGCUGGCUGCCGAUGCAGGGCCCAGGAGUCACUUGACUUGGCCAGGGGGCAGCCGACUGCCGACCUCGGGAGGCAGCUUCUGGCCUGGACUUGGAGCUGGAGAGAGCAGGCAGGGUCCUCGAUCGGGAACAGACGGGAACUGUGCACGGGUUGGAAGGAAUGGGUGUUCAGAAGCUGCCUGGGAGGCUCCCCCUGGGGACCCUGUCCGCACUGGGGUUGGGCCUCCCCUUUCCUUGGCCCAGGCAGCCCAGGGGAGUCCAGGAACCGGGCCUCACCUGUUUCCAGGGUGGCGCUCCAACCCCCUUUGACCGGAACUACGGGACCAAGCUGGGGGUGAAGGCCAUGCUGUGGUUGUCGGAGAAGCUGCGCGACGUUUACCGCAAGGGACGGGUGUUCGCCAAUGCCCCAGACUCAGCCUGUGUGAUCGGCCUGAAGAAGAAGGCGGUGGCCUUCAGCCCCGUCACUGAGCUCAAGAAAGACACUGAUUUCGAGCACCGCAUGCCGCGGGAGCAGUGGUGGCUGAGCCUGCGGCUCAUGCUGAAGAUGCUGGCACAAUACCGCAUCAGUAUGGCCGCCUACGUGUCAGGGGAGCUGGAGCACGUGACCCGCCGCACCCUGAGCAUGGACAAGGGCUUCUGAGGCCAUGCCCACGCCCCUCCCCAGCCCCCACCCAUGCCAGCCGCAGCACCAGGGCUCAGAUGGGGCCUGGGCUGUUGUGUCUGGAGCCUGCAGGCAGGUGGAGGCUGUGUCCCUGCUCAGCCCACCCCCUGCCUCUAUCCCUGGCCACCUGCCAGGCCUCUCUGGGGCUGGUGUCUUGAGACCAGCCUGCCAGGCCCUCCAGCAGGAGGACAGGGCGCCCUGGGGCAUCCACCUUCCUGCCCAGGGGACGCGGCGCUGUCGGUGUUUGGAGGCUGCCGCCCCCUGGCUUUGGCGCCCCAUGGGCCCUCAGCGUCUCCCCACGCUGGGCUCACUACAUGGGCCAGCCCUCACCCUACAUGGCCUGUAGGCUGCUGGCGCCUGGGUUGUGUUGAGAGGGGGACGCCCCUGGCCCUGCCUCACUGUGACCUGCUCCUGCCCACGUGCAGCACCCGUCACCUUUUCUAGAAAUAAAAUCACCUUGACUGUGGGGUGCAUCGGUCUCUGGAGAGCA